RNAcentral lists this ribosomal RNA (253 nucleotides) under uncultured bacterium. RNAcentral describes it as "partial 16S ribosomal RNA". It matches the Rfam family "Bacterial small subunit ribosomal RNA", at positions 524 to 776 of the family's 1533-position model. The record is from RNAcentral.
UACGAAGGGGGCUAGCGUUGUUCGGAAUUACUGGGCGUAAAGGGCGCGUAGGCGGUUUCGCUAGUCAGGCGUGAAAUCCCCAGGCUUAACUUGGGAAUUGCGUUUGAUACUUCGAGACUUGAGUGAGGGAGAGGAUAGUGGAAUUCCCAGUGUAGAGGUGAAAUUCGUAGAUAUUGGGAAGAACACCAGUGGCGAAGGCGGCUAUCUGGACCUCAACUGACGCUGAGGCGCGAAAGCGUGGGGAGCAAACAGG